UAUAACGUAACUUCCGGGUUCUCAGAACUCCGCAUUUGAUCGCUUAGGAACUUAUCCCCGCCAGCCACUUGGAGGCGCAGCGAUGGCUACCGAAGCGGAGGCAGGGCCGAGGCGGGGCAGGGGCUGGGACCUUGUCCAGUCCGCUCUUGAGGGCGGGAACCGGAAGUACUGUGGCAGUUUUCGGCUUGGGGCGGAGCCCUGGACGGGUCCGAGCUGCAGUCCAUCUGGAUGGAGACCACCAACUUUCAGGAAGUGACAGAGCUGGUGACCUGGCAGACGGUAGCCAAGUGCUAUCUAACCUGCCUCCGUAAUGGCUCCUCAGUGUGAGGAGAGACAAAAGGGGCGGCAGAAAAGACCACAGCUGAGGGGUGCCGAACUAUUUACAUUCACUCAUUCAGAAUACUGUUGAGCCCUUACUUUGUGUUUAGCCUUGGACUAGGUGCUGGAAUCACAGAGAUAAGUACAAUUCCGUCCUUGAAGGUCAUAAACCAGCGUGGGCAAUGGACCAGUAAACGUAUAAUUGAUGUUAGAAA
Suricata suricatta (meerkat) is the source of this 533-nucleotide long non-coding RNA. RefSeq lists it as uncharacterized. The record is from RefSeq and is a predicted model, not a curated record. The transcript is spliced from 2 exons. Lineage: Eukaryota; Metazoa; Chordata; Mammalia; Carnivora; Herpestidae.